This is a non-coding RNA of Triticum aestivum (bread wheat), 116 nucleotides long. The record is from Rfam. NCBI's taxonomy places the organism in Eukaryota, Viridiplantae, Streptophyta, Magnoliopsida, Poales, Poaceae.
CAAGUACUCCCUCCAUCCCAAAUUACUUGUAGCCCAAAUGGAUGUAUCUAGACGUAUUUUUAGUUCUAGAUACAUCCAUUUAUGUGACAAGUAAUUCGGGGCGGAGGGAGUAUAUC